Molecule: ribosomal RNA, 439 nt
Filed under: uncultured bacterium
Lineage: Bacteria
Description: partial 16S ribosomal RNA
Rfam family: Bacterial small subunit ribosomal RNA
Source: RNAcentral
CUACGGGUUGCUCCAGUGGGGAAUAUUGCACAAUGGGCGCAAGCCUGAUGCAGCCAUGCCGCGUGAGUGAUGAAGGCCCUAGGGUUGUAAAACUCUUUCACCAGGGAAGAUAAUGACGUUACCUGGAGAAGAAGCCCCGGCUAACUCCGUGCCAGCAGCCGCGGUAAUACGGAGGGGGCUAGCGUUGUUCGGAAUUACUGGGCGUAAAGCGCACGUAGGCGGAUCGGUCAGUCAGAGGUGAAAUCCCGAAGCUCAACUUCGGAACUGCCUUUGAUACUGCUGAUCUAGAGUCCGGAAGAGGUGAGUGGAAUUCCUAGUGUAGAGGUGAAAUUCGUAGAUAUUAGGAAGAACACCAGUGGCGAAGGCGGCUCACUGGUCCGGUACUGACGCUGAGGUGCGAAAGCGUGGGGAGCAAACAGGAUUAGAUACCCCGGUAGUC